This 200-nucleotide ribosomal RNA is filed under the name uncultured bacterium. Its description in RNAcentral is "partial 16S ribosomal RNA". It matches the Rfam family "Bacterial small subunit ribosomal RNA", at positions 8 to 238 of the family's 1533-position model. The record is from RNAcentral.
AGAGUUUGAUCAUGGCUCAGAACGAACGCUGGCGGCAGGCCUAACACAUGCAAGUCGAACGCCCCGCAAGGGGAGUGGCAGACGGGUGAGUAACGCGUGGGAACAUACCCUUUGGUUCGGGAUAGCUCAGGGAAACUUGAAUUAAUACCGGAUACGUCCGUAAGGAGAAAGAUUUAUCGCCGAAGGAUUGGCCCGCGUCU